RNAcentral lists this long non-coding RNA (268 nucleotides) under Homo sapiens (human). Its description in RNAcentral is "HSALNT0221927". Lineage: Eukaryota; Metazoa; Chordata; Mammalia; Primates; Hominidae. The record is from RNAcentral.
CUUUAAAACAAAGUGUGUGUUUUCUAUGUUGGGAUGUUAAGGAAAAACAAACAGGGAGAAAUCUAUUCAGAGAACAGAUGUGGUAGUGGGAGUCAGCUUCCAGCAGGUGAUGCAGAGUGCUGAGACAGAUGACGACAGGCUGGGCUUCAGUUCCCUCACCUGGAGAGUGAUGAGAACACCAGCGCAAAAUUCCAGGGCCAUUGGGAAGAUGGAAUGAAAUAGUACAUGUAAUGGCUCGCAUCCAUAGUGCCUGGAACAUAACAAAUGC